UACGAAGGAUGCAAGCGUUAUCCGGAUUUAUUGGGGUUAAAGGGUGCGUAGGCGGACUUAUAAGUCAGUGGUGAAAUCUCGUUGCUUAACAACGAACGUGCCAUUGAUACUGUAGGUCUUGAGUACAGAUGCCGUUGGCGGAAUGUGUCAUGUAGCGGUGAAAUGCAUAGAUAUGACACAGAACACCGAUUGCGAAGGCAGCUGACGAAACUGUAACUGACGCUGAGGCACGAAAGCGUGGGGAUCAAACAGG
RNAcentral lists this ribosomal RNA (253 nucleotides) under uncultured bacterium. Its description in RNAcentral is "partial 16S ribosomal RNA". It matches the Rfam family "Bacterial small subunit ribosomal RNA", at positions 524 to 776 of the family's 1533-position model. The record is from RNAcentral.